This 460-nucleotide ribosomal RNA is filed under the name uncultured bacterium. RNAcentral describes it as "partial 16S ribosomal RNA". It matches the Rfam family "Bacterial small subunit ribosomal RNA", at positions 338 to 795 of the family's 1533-position model. The record is from RNAcentral.
CCUACGGGAGGCAGCAGUGAGGAAUAUUGGUCAAUGGGCGAGAGCCUGAACCAGCCAAGUCGCGUGAAGGAUGACGGCCCUACGGGUUGUAAACUUCUUUUGUCAGGGAGCAAUUGGGUCCACGCGUGGGCUUAGCGAGAGUACCUGCAGAAAAAGCAUCGGCUAACUCCGUGCCGGCAGCCGCGGUAAAACGGAGGUUGCGAGCGUUAUCCGGUUUUAUUGGGUUUAAAGGGUGCGUAGGCGGAAUAUCAAGUCAGCGGUAAAAAUUUGGGUCUAAACCCCGUCGUGCCGUUGAUACUGAUGUGCUAGAGUGUGCGUGAGGUAUGCGGAAUGCGUGGUGUAGCGGUGAAAUGCAUAGAUAUCACGCAGAACUCCGAUUGCGAAGGCAGCAUACCGGCGCCCUACUGACGCUGAAGCACGAAAGCGUGGGUAUCGAACAGGAUUAGAUACCCCAGUAGUC